GCACACUUUCUCAGCUUCUUCACAGAUACAUGCUGGAACACACAAAUUCACUCCUUUUUAAAAAGUUUCUAUAGGACUCUUAUCAGAUUGUAGCGCCAUAUAUAAGUUUAACAGCACUGUGUGUGUUCAAUCUGUAGGGGUCAACGUGCCCUACCUCUGACUUUCACCUCCAGGAAGCAGUGAGAGGACAUUAUCUGGUCCAGGUUGGAUCUGAUUAGCGCCUGUUUGGCUGAUGCUGCCUGACGACACUCCUCCCUCAGAGCCUCCAGACUUGCAUGCCCAGCAGCAUUUCCCAGGAUUCAUAGCGUCCUUUGUCCUGUCGGUAGAGUCGGAGGGCUCGGACGUAGGCCUGGCUCUCAUAGGAUGAGUCGCACCAGGGGUCUGCAGGAAGCGUGGACUUGGUUAUGAUUCUGGAGUUUUUUGUGGUCCAGUUCCCCAUAAGACUUAAGGUCAUUCAUUUCUUACUAAAUGAUGGAGGGCAUUUGAGGAACAGAAAGCUCCACUAAUGGUGUUUCUGGUUUCGAAGCUUUGGGGUCUGGGUCUGUGGUUGCGGGCUUCCUGUUCCUCCUCAACACUCUCUGCCACAAUUAGACCAACCGGUCGAGGCAGAUGGCCGCCCACCCUGACUCACGCUGCUGUUUCUACCUCCAUAAGAGGGAGGUUUUCCUUAUCGGUGUCGCUAAGUGUUUGAUGGUGGUCGCAGUGUCUGAUGCAGGUCUUGACGGCAGACCGGAAGAGAUCUCGUUCCUCUUUCUGUUGGAACAGGAAGCAGGUGUAGCCCAUGUAAGGCAGGUGCAGAUACACGGCGAACACAUCUGGAGACGGCACCACCGAAGAAGAAUCCUCCUUCACUCCUUCACACAUGGACACACACAGACAGAGGGAUUUGCCUCGCUGCUGCCAGGUGGCUCGUUGAUCAGGAAAUGACUGUGGAAGUUGACACGACAUCGGCACGAACUUCAGCUGAUGUACCACGGCCAACUGGUAAGCAAAUCUUCAGACCUCCCAGGAACCUGCAGUCCACAGAAAAGGGCUUGCUCUCCGUCCCCCCCGACACCAGACUGCAAACAUAUGUGGACAGGGCCUUCAGCAUCUUUGGACACGUUUAAAAAACUGCUAAAAAUCCACCUAUAAUCUAGAAGGACUUCCUGCUGUUCUGGUAUUUGUUUGUUUUUGUGAGGUUAUGUGUAAAGCGUCCUUGGGUCCCUUGAAAGGCUCUAUAAAAAUAUAUGUCAUCAUUAUUAUUACCAACAUAUUGAAUAAGCUGCUUCUCAUUUUUUAUUUUUGCAUUACCAAUUGUCGUUGUUGUUGUUGUUGACGUGGCUGUAUGACCUCUUCUCUGGUAAUCUUUUGACAGUACCGAGUCAGAGUUCUGUGAUUUAUGUCAAAAUUCUUUGCUGCACUCCUGAUUGAUUUGUUCUUCAACUUCACAUGCAUGACUGCCAUUAACAUCAUGGUUAUAGAUUUUCAUGAAGUAAAAUAAUUAUUUGCUCCGACUCAAAGAAUGAAGUUAUGAAAAUUUAAAUCAACUAAAAAAGCAAUGUUGAGACAACAAGAACACUGUAGUUAUAUCAAGGCAGCAGGUGAAUUUGCAAUUCCAUGUUAAACUAACUUGAAAGGUCUUACAGUCUGUAGUCCAGGGAUAUGCCUGCUGAAA
This is a long non-coding RNA of Micropterus dolomieu (smallmouth bass), 1657 nucleotides long. RefSeq lists it as uncharacterized. The transcript has 6 exons. The record is from RefSeq and is a predicted model, not a curated record. NCBI's taxonomy places the organism in Eukaryota, Metazoa, Chordata, Actinopteri, Centrarchiformes, Centrarchidae.